CUCUCUGUUAGUACAGGGAGGUUUCCCAUACUACCAAAGCAGGACCAAAGGGUUUUAUUCUAUUGCUGUGGGCAUUCAGGACUCUGUAAAGUUAAUCCCACCCUGUGAAGGUUCAGGAGAGCAAUCGAGGAAGAAAAGCUCUUCCUUGCAUAUGAUCCAGCAGCGGGGAAGGAGCUGCAGAGCACAGAGAGACCCGGUGCAGUUUAAAUCGCAGCAGCAGGUAUCAGGUAGUGAAGCUUUUAUGGAGCUCCCUGAUACUGCCAACUGAUCAAGGGACUAAACCUAUUUUUAUCUGCAAUCGAGACUGAGACCUGCAGCAGACGCUGAAGGAGAUGCUCAGAGGGGAAUUGGGACCUUCUCAGCACCUGGCCAAGGGAUGUCCCACAGUGCUGGGCAGGUGCUGACACCCAAGGGGGAUCAUGCCUCUCUGUGACACACAGGCCUACAGCCUGAGCAAGAGCGCACAGGUGUCAGAGCACAGCAUUUGCAGAAAGGUAAGUGCAUUAAAACAAGCAUGUGAAGACUGUAAGCAAUCAGCUCAACCCCACAUUAAUGUUGCCGGUCCAUUUCCUAUUCCCAGGCUAUUGAGGGUAGCAGGGCAUAUUCUGAAGUUGCAGCGGGGUUUAAUGCUUCAUUUUAAUUCUUACUUCAAACUAUUUCACAUAAAGACAUUGAAUAGACAAAGUGUUACAAUUACAACUUUCCUCAGCCAAUUUUUUAUGUAGCCACUUAUAAAACCAGAGUCCCCAGCCCAGCUCAAAACCAGGGAUUUUCCCCAGUUCUGGGCAGACCAGUGCAGAGUGAUUUCAGCUGCUACCAGGCUUGCUACAUGGGUAAUUGAGCAUUUAGCAUGCCCAGCCAUUGCCUACAGUAGCUUUCCUAGCAGCACCCAGAUACCUUAAAUUAAUGUCAGCAAUAGUGGGAAAUGCAUGGAGGGUCUCUACUGAAGAUGGACAACAGCAUAAAGCUCAUCUCUCAAACCUAUCAAGGGGCUGCAAAGCUGAUGGGGGGCAGGAAGAGGAUAAGGGAGAGCAACUAAGUCUAAGCAACAGGGCAGAGAAAAUACAGGAAAGGUAAUAAGUGCUCAAAAUUGCCCAGGAGACUUCAGAGCUGGUCUUCUGCCUAGGGGGCUCGUAUCUUAUUUAUUAGGCCAUGCUGCCUCACAUGGGAGUGUGGAGGCUCCCCCAGGUGCCUGGGUACCCAGCACGCCAAGAUGAGCAGCUGUUGCCACCUUCCCAGCGGAAAAAUUAAAGCAAUAGGGAGUUCAGAGAGAUCUGCUGCUGCGCCAGAAGAAAGUGAAGGGAACUAUGUCAUUAUCAUGCCUACAGAGGCCAGCCUGACCCCAAGAGACAGUGGCAGUAAUAGUGUUUUAUAGUAAUUCAAUAACUAUUUAUGCCGGGAGGAUGAGUUAUGCUGACUGGCCUUAUUUGCUAAGUUAUUAGAUAGCAAAACUAAGAGGAUUUUCAGAGCUGGUGUAGAGAGGCCAGUUCCACUGUCUUUCUUUUAAUGCAGGGAAAAUUAGAAGUUGACAUAAAUGGACAAUUAACUGAAUCCUUUAAUGUCAUCAACACUCUCCAGUCUCAGAGAGGCACCAGGUGUUCUUCAGAGUUAACAGAGCCAGGAGAUGCCAGCGUGGGAGCCCAGCACUCCAGGGCAGGAAGAAAAGAGAGCCGGGGGCUGAGAGCCACGACCAUAUGAAGAGAUGCCGGCAUCUGCUCCUGUCUCUGAAGCAACUCCGCUGGCUGCAACAUAUCUCCCCUGUCAUUAUAUUCCCACUCAAAAACUGUUCAGUUCUGGCCCUGCAGCUCUGUCCUCAUCUCCCAGAAAGUAUAAAGACAGGGAGAUGGGUGAAGAUCCUGAAGAUCUCCACACACCUUUGACUACUUAGGAGUUCUGGGAUAAAACCUAGACUGUAUCAUAUGUGCCUGUAUGUGAGCAAGACCUCCAGAGAGCAGCUGUCCCCAGGAAACCCUGAACCCAGGCACCUCUGUUCAGUUCCCCUCACCACAUACACCAACGCCAUGUAGCCUCCGCAUGUGCAGAUUCACAGUGAACAGUUGGCUGCACAGUUGGUAAGAAAUGCUGUUUCCACAAGGUGGUAUCACCAGAUACCUCAAAAAUGGCCCAGCUUAUACUGCAGCUAGCUGUGAAUUACAGCACUUCACAGUUCCUUUCCAAGGAACAGCAAAGCCAGGAGUGUAGCUCACAGGAAUCGUGAGAAAUACCUCACCUGAGAUUUCGGCAACUCACAGGAUGGGAGAUCAGAGAAAGGACUCUCUUUUUGUUCACAAUGUUACUUACUAGCAGGCCAACAAGAUGACAAAGUCUGGACCAAACCCUCUCUGUAAGAGGGACUGUACCCUAUUUAAGCAUGGAGAUGACUCGCCCUCGAUCCUGAUGCCCCGGGCAGACUACAGACAACCUGAGAUGCCUUCCCCCUUCAGCUGGAGAGCCCUUCCCCAGCUGGCUGACACCACGACGUUUUCUUGCAUGAGGGCUGACCUUAGCCUGGACACUUUUGAAACUGUAAUUUGAGGGGAAAGGGAUGAAAAACUACAAACGCUGUCUAACGGUCUCCCCAAAUGCACUUAAAGUAGAGAAAAUUCUUGGAAAAGCACAGGGGAAAAGCGAUUUCUUUGGGGCUUGGAGCCUCUAAGGAGAGAAUUGUUUACCCCAAAAUAGUUCUCAGUUUGCGAGUAGCAGAAGGUGACGCAAAUGCUGGGAGAAGUCAUGGAUCCUGUCCUGGCUGGACACUGCAACAGGGUACAUAUGGUGCAUGGCUGCCUCUGCCAGAGCAAGCCUCACUAAGGGCCUUCUCUUCAGACCACUUUGGAGUAGAUCCGUCAACUUUAAGUCAUGCAGAGCAGAAGUCAAGUCAGAUAUAGUGUCCAUGGUUCCAGUGCCCCAGAUGCGGCCUGAUGGACCGGCUGGCCUUGAGGGCACAGAGCAAGGUGCUAGACAGCUCGGUGUCUGGGUGCCAGAGGCUCACGGCCAUGGCCUCAUCCCCUCCAUCAGCUGCUGCUGGUCACACCACCCUCAAGGAGGCACCUGACUCCUCCAAGGAUAUAUAUGUAUAAAUCUCAGCUUCCCUCAGCCCUGGCUGUUGCUAUCUCCCCAGGCUUCUGUCCUGUUUGAGCCCCUUCCCACGUGAGCCUGGUGAGCUCCCUGCUGCUUCUCUUCCUCCUACUCUCGGCGAGCAUCUAGGUCUGUUGCCAGAUCAGCCAAGAGGUGCUCAGGAGUGUCCAAGUCCACACGACAGCAUCUCCACAUUUCCUUCUGAUGGGAGGAAGAAGUGCUCCUCCUUUGGGAAAUGAGGUUCUGUUAGAUGGAAGCCCCUCCAAAUACUACUGCUGUUCUAAGGAAAUUCAGCCCUCAGGAUCAACCAACAGUCUCUUUUUGCCUUACCAAAAAGAAGAGAGCAACGAAUCUUGUGGAGAAGCCAGGAGUUGAACCUAGCUCUCAAGAGAAGCAUGCAAAUGUUUUAUCUGCAAUAUUGCCUUUCCUUCGGAGCAGGGUAGGGGAGAAAAAUACAGAAAAAAAAUCACCCUCACAAAUAUCAGUACUAGUCAUCAUCCAAACUUUCCAAAAAUCACUGAAACUAAUCAAAAUUCUGCGUCUCAUGCCAUGUACUGUGCAGGGACGUAUCAAGUAAGUGAAAAAUAUACGUACUCUGCUUGGAUGUGCUGACACAUACCCCUGUCAGAUAUAAUUAAGGCUCCCAUUCUUUGUCUUUCCUACCACUAGUUCUAUAUAUUAAGUUCCAUUCUAAUUUAAUUACCCUUAUUGCAGCAUUUCUUCAUUCAAAAUGAAUAGCUUCUAGGAAUGGUGCUUUCAGGGGAACACAGUGGGGUUUUUUUUUUGUUUUCUUUUUUUCACACUAGUAAUUGGCAUUUGCAGUAAGCAUAGGGAAAACCCAAUUCCCAGUGCCAUGGGGAAGAUAAUGAAAUUUGCACCGUUCUAAGAAAUUAGAAGGGAUUUGGAGGUUUAAAAUAACUUUUACAAAAUAAAACAAGAAACUUAUGUUAGCUUUUGUUCCAGGCAGCAAACGGGAGGCUCACAGGCAAGCUAAAGCUUUGUAAAGCAAUGCAUCUCCCAUAUUAAUAUCACUUAUGUGCAGCUCAGAAGCACCUGAAGGCCCCCUCUAAGCUUGAGACCCCAUCGUUCUAGUGCUGUUCAAGUAGGUUACGAUAAGUCAUCCGUGCCAUCUAGAGUUCACAACAAGAGCUAGCUGAAAAUUUCCCCCAGGACCAUUUUUUCUGAUAGAAAGUGAAAUGCCUGCAAAAUUAUCUGUUUUAACCCUACCAUAAUUAUUUCAGGUCAGUGGAAUAAACCUAGACAGCUUCUGCUCUGCUUCAGCACAGCAUCUGCUGCUCAAGGGCUGCUGUGCACCAGGGUUUCUGAGGACGUGUGCCCUUCUGCUGCCUGGGAGCGCUGUCUGGUUUGGAUUUCAGGACUCUCUGCAUUUCUCUGGAAAUCUUGAAGGUGUUGUUCAUGCAAGGACAGAUCUGCCCUGCAGGACACAUUGAAUGAGUGUGAUGCCUCCAAGACCUGCCAGUGGUCUGUCCACACACCCACGAGCUGGUGCUCUUCAGACAAACUCCCAUGCCCAGAUCACUUGGGUAGUAUGUGAGUACAGAUGUUUACUUCUGCCAAGGAAAUCCUUUUUCUUACCAGACAGCAUGGUGCUUCAUGGGGCACUUGUUGCCCCAUUUCAGGCAUAUUACUGAAGGAAGCUAAAAUACAGAGCAAGUGGAGUUUCCAGAAGGGGACAAGAAAUCUGUUCCUGAAACACACCAGAAGCAACUAUGUCAUGAUUACAAAGACCUUAAAAAAAAAAAAAAAAAAAAAAAAAAAAAGGAAACAUCAUCUGAGUGUAACUGAAAGCAGUUCUAAGUUGCCCCAGGUGCUGCUUUCCUUGAGAUGAAAAAUACUGCAAAGAGAAGAGAAGGCACAAUUUUCUCCAGAACUAAUACUUGCUCUCAAAUAGCAAAGAACGGAUCUGGACCUAUGAUUUUCUGCAAAGAUUGGUCCCUUUGGGAGGGAUUCACCUUGCCUUACUGUAGCAGACUGAUUCAGUUGCCAGCUCACAGACGUGCCCAUACAGGACCUGCACAAAUUCACACCUCUCAGCUCUGCUCUUUCUUGCACAGACCCCCAGUGAUGGGCCAGCUCUGGGGUCCCUUCAUUACCACUCAGACGCAGUGGAGAGCUAGACAUCAGCAAUGCCAACUGCACACAUAAACACCUCCAUCCAGUGUUUUCACAUGAAGCUGAAUCCCACCUUUACCGUGCACCUGACCCAUUUUAGAGGUCCUCUUCAGCAUACCAUGUGAAUUAUAUCCUUUCCUCCCCUGACUUUAUCCCUGUGGACGGUAUGAAGAGGUGGCUACCUCAGAUGUGGAUGCCUAUGUUGCAACUGUCCACUGGAGAUGUGUUGGGUGUCAGAGACAGCCAAAGGUACACGGCCCUGUGGACAAGGCGGAGCCUUCUGCAGCAGCAACGGGAGCCCAGGCAGGACACUCCUAGCAUCUCAGUGUCCCUCAACACCUACGGAUAAAAGAGUUCUACCUUUCACCAGCUGGCUCCCAUCCUGUGUGUCCCCAGGUCCACACUGGUUGGACAACUUGCCAGCAGGCAUUGCUGUUUCUUCCAGUCAAUGCUUUAGGUGAAAUCACCCUUCAGUAUGGGUGUCACCCUCCAAAAUGAGAAAGAAGAGAUGGAGAGGGACUGCGUGGAUCCCCCUCUGUCAUGGAUGACCUAUCUUACACAGCCCUCCAGAAAUGCUGGAGGAAUACCACUGAGUGGAAGGGGAGCCACAAGGAGGAAGGGCCAUGCCCCCUGCCACUGCAGCACCACCCAGGGCUGAAAAGGGAAAACUCUGGGAGGAAAAGAAGAGGCAAGCUAACGAAAACAGCACUGGAUUACCUCUUCUAUGGCACAGGGAGGAAAGCUGCCAUCCCCAUCACUGGUGAGGCUCCAGGUGCCUUCACUUGAGUCAGGAUUCACCCCUAAAAGCCUUUCUUUCCCUGAUUCUCUCAUUUAGCUUAGCAUGGCAGUGAGACGUGUGCAGCAUCUAAUGUAUUUUCAAUACGUCAGCAUUCAAAAAGUGGUGGAGAAGCAGAGAUGUAUGAGGAUCUCCAAGCAGCCUGUACUUAAAAAUGUGUGUGUUGAACCCAUUCUCAUUCUCCUAGUCCCUUUUUAUAGUCUUUAUAGGGUUAAUCCUGCUCUCUUGUCUACUAGUAAAAAUGCAGGGGUUUCCAGGAGCUUACACAGGUGGCGAUGACUGUGACUAGCAGUAUUGUUGCAUGCAACUCCUACCUCUUAAUCCUGGCUUCAGCUCUUCAGUAAAAGCUAUACAGGGCAUGAGAAAGUGAAGUCAAAGGGCAGGUGUCCAGAGAGAUGCCCUGCAGUAGCUGCCCAGUGUGGCUCCAGACCAUUCCUGUGCCUCAGUUUCCCCACAGACGUAACCCAGAGCUCCCUACCGGCCUUGCCAGUGAUCUCAGGCCAGACUUGUUAUUUGUGGAGUUGGCUGAGAGAUGAGAUGAAAGGUUCCACGUCAGUGCAGAGUAAAUUGUUAUUAAAUGAGAGCUAAUGAAUGAUCACACGAAUCCCAAACUGGAGCAAUUAGCCAUUCUGCAGCUGCCAGAGGGUAUUUUCCCUGCUGCUACAGUUGCCUCUAGGUGGCUGAUUUUUAAAUUACUCUUUCCUCUUUGCUUCACGACAUUGCCUUGGGAGCCAAUCAAGCCUUUCUUUCCGAGUAUAUGAGAGUGCUCAUUUACAUCCAAGAGCGGUGCCCCGGUACAGUUCAGGUGGGGCUGGCCCCGCAGUCUGCAUGCAGUUUAUUCCUGUUGAAAAAGGUGAUUUCCUUGAAGAGAGGAUAAACGCUGUGUGGUUACAAGGCACCUUUACACAGACACACCUUCAAGAGAAGCUGUAUUCAGGACCUUCAUCCGCGGCACACACAUGGGAUCUUAGGUCCAUAGGCAACCGUGGGCUUUACUGUGCAGAAAAUCCUGCCUCAUGCUUUGCAGCAGAGCCCAUAGCAAACUAAGAGCAUUACUUGCCACGAAAGUUUCUGCUGGCACAGAGGCUGGGUGCAGGGGCAGGAUUUGGCGUCUCAGGUCAGGUCUGGGGCCAGGGCAGCCCUGACGCUGCUCCUUCACGGUACCAUUGCUCUCUCCAUAAGGUCCCUCUGUGCUGGAGAAAUGUCUGCUCAUGAAACAGAGGGUUGAGGAAAGAAGGCUAGUUGUUCUUCUUUGAGAGAAAGCCUGGGCACACUCCCUGUUUCUUAAAUAU
Long non-coding RNA from Struthio camelus australis, 7296 nucleotides. RefSeq lists it as uncharacterized. Lineage: Eukaryota; Metazoa; Chordata; Aves; Struthioniformes; Struthionidae. The record is from RefSeq and is a predicted model, not a curated record.